Molecule: ribosomal RNA, 210 nt
Filed under: uncultured bacterium
Lineage: Bacteria
Description: partial 16S ribosomal RNA
Rfam family: Bacterial small subunit ribosomal RNA
Source: RNAcentral
AGUUCGGAUUGCAGGCUGCAACCCGCCUGUAUGAAGUUGGAAUCGCUAGUAAUCGCGGAUCAGCAUGCCGCGGUGAAUACGUUCCCGGGCCUUGUACACACCGCCCGUCACACCAUGAGAGUCGGGAACACCCGAAGUCCGUAGUCUGACCGCAAGGGGACGCGGCCGAAGGUGGGUUCGAUAAUUGGGGUGAAGUCGUAACAAGGUAGC